CAGUUCUCACUAACCAGAAAGCCCAUGUUCUACUUGCUUGGGUGCAGUUUUAAAGAACAGAUGAAGCCAGAAGAACCAUAGCAGAGGCUGUGGUGCUCAGCUGAGACAACACUAGAUUUUUACUUUCCUGUGCUGGUACAACCAAUUACGUUAUACCUUGAUUAAAAACAUGACAUUGCUGCAUAAUCUAUUUUCUGUUAUGUUUCAUCUUCUUUUUCCAGAAUUCUUUUUCAGAUGUAAUAUCAAGCAGAAAAAAACAUUGAAUCUGGGUUCAUGAGAAGGUAGGUUUUGUGGAAAUCAGUAUGAAAACUAUUACCUAUUUUACCUGGGCCUUUAGACAGGUAUAAUCUUCAUCUCUUUAUAUUAUCAUUAAGUCACAUUCAGCAGACCUUGCAGACAUCUAUAUACCUGACUGUAGUAUUGCAUCAAAGCAAAUAAAAACUGCAUUUGGGAUAAGCCGUAUUUCACGUUCACUACUGCACCCCAACGCCUAACUGCAGACGUCGUAAAGAGUUAAUAAGCAGAUGUUCACUGUUAUAACACAUGAUAGGUGAGCAGCUUUAUAAAACAGACUUUCGCCUUCCAACCAAGAGAAAGACUAUAACAUUUACAUAUAUAUUUUCUACUAUAUAAGAAGAAAUGCAAGAACCUGAAACAAAUAAUUCAAACAUGAACACAGUUCUUUAUGGGGCUUUUGCUUUCUAUUUCAUCCUAUAUGAAUUUCCUUGUUUUCCUAUUUACUGCCUGUUAAUAUUUAGCUGUGCUGUGUAGAAUUAUUGCUCUUGAUUAAAAUAAAAUAUUUCACAUAGAAGUAUGUAUCAGGUAGAAUUUAAAUAAAUUGUUACCUCACACAUAAAUUAUACUUGCCUGCUAUGUGACACUUGAUAAUUAUGUAGUUAUAAAUACAAACUUCAGUGUUUUCAAUUAGGUUAAAGUAGGGAAAUAAGUAUAUUUUAGAUUGAAUGCUUAAGUGUUUUACAUUCUAAUUGUUCUUCUACUCUUUUCCUCCACAGUGUCAAAUUCUAUUUGGAAUACAGGGACUUUUCUUUUCCGUUGAGAAGAAAAUAAAACAGAUAUGUUUGGCUUAAUAUUUCAUUUCAAAUAACUAAUAAUGGUAUCAUUGUAUAUGAUAAUGAUAAUGUGAUUCUGCUCUCUUUGAGGGAUUUCAGCUCAUCUAAUUUUCUGCAGAACUAGGACCAAGAGGAUCCCAUUGACUAAGAACAUCUGCUUCGUGUGACUAGAUAGAAUUCACAUGUGUUGGAAGAGAAACUAUCCACAUGGCAGGCACAGAGAAGUGGUGGAAUCCCUGCUAAUGAAAUAGUCCUGGCCUCUCUCUACCUCACUUGCUCAAAGGUGGAAUGGUUGGAUUUGUAGAGCGAAAUAGACACCAGCAUUGUACCAUAUGUAUUUCCAUUACACUAGAAAUUGGAAAUCUGCUGUAAACUCAUCACCUCAUUAGCCUGCCAGUUUCACUUAGUAAGCAGGUAACAAGAAGUCCAAGUCAAAGAUUCAAAAUAGGAUUGUUUUAUUCCACAGAUGGAAAAAUGACAGAGGCCCAGGCCCGUAGAAGAUUGUUCAUUCGGACAGUGGAAAGCAUACUUCAAGGACUGAUUGGAUAACAUAAAGCAUGAUCACAGACAGAGCAGAGGCCCUGUGCGAUGCUUGAAAGCACUUGGUGAGGUACCCGCAUGACCCUGCCCCUCCCAGCCUUCCUUCAGAGGGCAAGUGCUUCCGUGGGCCAAGGGGAGGAGGAAAGCUCUCCUCAUUUCCAUGGAGCACUGAUGAACACUUCUUACUGGGCUUUUUAAACUUACAUUAUUCAAAUGCUACUUUUUGCUAUAAAGCCACAUUUCGUUCAUGUGACACGAUGCGCUGCCUGAAAAAUGGCAUGAUCCUACAGUGGAAUCAUCAAAUUCCUCACCCUCUUCUUUAGCAAUCAUUAGGGAAUCAUCUAUUCAUCAGAUUAUGGGAGAAAUGGAAGAAAUAAAAAAUGAUGAAAAAAUGCAGAGGGAAAUGUUGUUUAUCUCUUUGAGAUGGAAAAUAUGAGACCAUGUGGAUUUCACAAGACUAUUCUAUUUUUACCAGACCUGGUUCUUUAGACAUCUUGCAGGCAAUACUCUCUUCUCUGGUCUCUGCAACGCACAUUUCCAAGGCCAUCUCCUCAGUAUUUUAAUCAGGUAAUUUUCUUUCUUAAACCCCCAGGAAGGUUUCCAAUUCCCUCUUAAAUCAAGUUAAAAUCUUCUGAUUAUUCAUAAUGAGCAUCGCCCUCUUACCUCCCAAGUCGUUCUGAUUUCCUGUGACAGUUUGAUUUACCCACACUGGGAAAGUUACUCACACAUCCUCCCAUACCUGCCAUCUCUUUCCACCUCUUAGACAAUCUAAAUUCUGUUCUCACUGCCUGAAAUGACCUUUCUAAUCCUCUAUCAACUAAA
Molecule: long non-coding RNA, 2432 nt
Organism: Manis pentadactyla (Chinese pangolin)
Lineage: Eukaryota; Metazoa; Chordata; Mammalia; Pholidota; Manidae
Exons: 3
Source: RefSeq, a predicted model, not a curated record